Long non-coding RNA from Exaiptasia diaphana, 467 nucleotides. RefSeq lists it as uncharacterized. NCBI's taxonomy places the organism in Eukaryota, Metazoa, Cnidaria, Anthozoa, Actiniaria, Aiptasiidae. The transcript is spliced from 3 exons. The record is from RefSeq and is a predicted model, not a curated record.
AUUAUGUCAACAAUCAACUCGAAUCACGCUACAUUAAGGUGUGCCAAGCUCGUCAACGUAACAAAACCCUCUUUUGUCAGUUGUAAGUUAGCCAUUUCAUCGUCUUAGAAAUCUAUCUCUAUCUGGUGCAUCUGUAUAGCAAACAGCCAACAAGAAUGAACCGUAAACUUGUGUCUUUGUUGUUAUUGCUCAUCGUACUCACGACCAUUCAUGAGUGUGAUGCCUGGAGAAGAAGAAGAACAAGCAGCCUGAACUCACCAUCCGCUCAGCAGAAGAACAAAUUAAGGAGCACCGUUUUGUYUGAAGACAAUCUUGRGAAAUCAGAUGAUGGYAGAGAUGACGUGAAAAUCAAUGACGAUUUUAAAGAGGACGAGUAAAAMAGAUUUAAAAAUCGAAUUUUAUUAACGGGUUUGGUUUUUAUUGUAAUCGAGAMGAACUGAAUAAACUAGACGCUCRGUGAGCGCUUG